AGGUCAAGAUAUAAAGGGCAUACGGUGGAUGCCUUGGCGCCAAGAGCCGAAGAAGGACGCGGUUAACAGCGAAAUGCCACGGGGAGUCGUAAGCAGGCAUAGAUCCGUGGAUGUCCGAAUGGGGCAACCCAUCCAGAGUCAUAUUUGGAUAUCCUGUACUGAAUAAAUAGGUACAGCGAAGGCAAGUCGGGGAACUGAAACAUCUAAGUACCCGGAGGAAAAGAAAGAAUAAUCGAUUCCCAGAGUAGCGGCGAGCGAAACGGGACUAGCCCAAACCAAUCCAGAAGACAGAGGCCAGAAGCCAGAGGUCAGAAUGCAAGCAAGCAUCUGGCGUCCGGAAUCUGAUUUCUGACUUCUGGGUUGGGGUUGUAGGACUCUCAAAACGGGACAGUGUUUUUAGCUGAAGCGAACUGGAAAGUUCCGGCAUAGGAGGUAAAACCCCUGUAAGCGAAAAGAAGACUGGCUUAGAGAGUAUCCUGAGUACCGCGGGACACGAGAAACCCCGUGGGAAGCAGGGGAGACCACUCCCCAAGGCUAAAUACUACUUGGCGACCGAUAGUGAACAAGUACCGUGAGGGAAAGGUGAAAAGCACCCCGGGAGGGGAGUGAAAUAGAACCUGAAACCGUAUGCUUACAAGCAGUCAAAGCGUUUAGGCGUGAUGGCGUGCCUUUUGUAGAAUGAACCGGCGAGUUGUGAUAUGCAGCGAGGUUAAGUAUUUAAGAUACGGAGCCGAAGCGAAAGCGAGUCUAAAUAGGGCGACUAGUUGCAUGUUGCAGACCCGAAACCGUGUGAUCUACCCAUGGUCAGAGUGAAGGUGAGGUAAAACUCAUUGGAGGCUCGAACUCACUGUCGUUGAAAAGGCAGGGGAUGAACUGUGGGUAGGGGUGAAAUGCCAAUCGAACACGGAGAUAGCUGGUACUCCCCGAAAUAGCUUUAGGGCUAGCCUCAAUGGAUGAAAUACGGGGGUAGAGCACUGAAUGGGCUAGGGGCUUAAAAGUUACUGAACCCUAUCAAACUACGAAUACCGUAUUUUUAGAAGUUGGGAGUCAGACUGUGGGGGAUAAGCUUCAUAGUCGAGAGGGAAACAGCCCAGACCGACGGCUAAGGUCCCAGAGACUACGCUAAGUGGAAAAGGAUGUGGAACCGCAGGGACAACCAGGAUGUUGGCUUAGAAGCAGCCACCAUUUAAAGAGUGCGUAAUAGCUCACUGGUCGAGUGGUUCUGCGCCGAAAAUGUAACGGGGCUCAAGCGUAGCACCGAAGCCGCGGCAUACAGAGGUCAGAUGACAGAGACCAGAAGUCGGAAAGAGGUAAAAGAUGAUAGAAAGCUAUCGUGAUCUGAGGGUAUAUCAGAUUGCAUAUAAGCUAGCACUAGAAAUUCAUCGAAUAAGCCAAAGAUUUCCUGACUUCGAAAAGUAUGAGAUUGGGAGCCAAAUAAGAUAACAGAUGACAGAUGACAGAAGCCAGAGGUCAGAACGAGAAUCUGACAUCCGGCAUCUGGUAUCUGGAUUCUGGAAUUACAAAUGGCCCAAGGAUCAAAAGAAGAAACGAAGGUCUUGUUAGAGAUAGUGAAAGAUCUAGGUUAUAUCCAAGAAGAAGAGUAUAAAGAAUUGUUUAACAGAUAUGAUGAGUUAGGCAAGCAACUCUAUAGGCUUCAUCAAAAUUGGGAAUAAUCUGGCUUCUGGAAUCUGUCAUCUGACUUCUGAAUGGGUAGGGGAGCAUUGUCACAGCGUAGAAGGAUAACUGUAAGGUUUACUGGAGUGGUGACAAGAGAGAAUGCCGGUAUGAGUAUGCGAAAAGGUGAGUGAGAAUCUCACCCGCCGAAAAUCUAAGGUUUCCUGGGGAAGGCUCGUCCGCCCAGGGUAAGUCGGGACCUAAGCUGAGGCCGAAAGGCGUAGGCGAUGGACAAUUGGUUGAAAUUCCAAUACCACCAUAAAUCGUUUGAGCGAUGGGGUGACACAGGAGGAUGACCUGAGCGUGCUGUUGGUUAUGCACGUCCAAACAUCAAGUGGGUGCUGUAGGCAAAUCCGCAGCGCUAAACCGUGAGAUGUGAUGGGGAGCGAAAAUAAGUAGCGAAGCGGGAUAGUUCAUACUGUCAAGAAAAGCCUCUAGUGAGAAAUGUGGUGCCCGUACCGCAAACCGACACAGGUAGAUGAGGAGAGAAUCCUAAGGCGCGCGAGAAAACCCUCGUUAAGGAACUCGGCAAAAUGACCCCGUAACUUCGGGAGAAGGGGUGCUCUGGCAACAGAGCCGCAGAGAAAUAGUCCAGGCGACUGUUUAACAAAAACACAGGUCCCUGCAAAUCCGUAAGGAGAAGUAUAGGGGCUGACGCCUGCCCGGUGCUGGAAGGUUAAGAGGAGAAGUUAGCGCAAGCGAAGCCUUGAAUUGAAGCCCCAGUAAACGGCGGCCGUAACUAUAACGGUCCUAAGGUAGCGAAAUUCCUUGUCGGGUAAGUUCCGACCCGCACGAAAGGCGUAACGAUCUGGACACUGUCUCAACGAGGGACUCGGCGAAAUUGUAAUACCCGUGAAGAUGCGGGUUACCUGCGACAGGACAGAAAGACCCCAUGGAGCUUUACUGCAGCUUGACAUUGGAUUUUGGUAUAAAAUGUACAGGAUAGGUGGGAGGCUUGGAAGCCAGUACGCCAGUAUUGGUGGAGCCGCCGGUGGGAUACCACUCUUUUUGUACUGAAGUUCUAACCUAGGCCCCUGAAUCGGGGUUGGGGACAGUGUCAGGCGGGCGGUUUGACUGGGGCGGUCGCCUCCUAAAGAGUAACGGAGGCGCCCAAAGGUUCCCUCAGCGCGGAUGGAAAUCGCGCGAAGAGUGUAAAGGCAAAAGGGAGCUUAACAGAGAGACAAACAAGUCGACCUGGUACGAAAGUAGGGCUUAGUGAUCCGGUGGUUCCGAGUGGAAGGGCCAUCGCUCAACGGAUAAAAGCUACCCUGGGGAUAACAGGCUUAUCUCCCCCAAGAGUUCACAUCGACGGGGAGGUUUGGCACCUCGAUGUCGGCUCAUCGCAUCCUGGGGCUGUAGUAGGUCCCAAGGGUUGGGCUGUUCGCCCAUUAAAGCGGUACGUGAGCUGGGUUCAGAACGUCGUGAGACAGUUCGGUCCCUAUCCGUCGCAGGCGCAGGAAAUUUGAGGAGAUCUGACCCUAGUACGAGAGGACCGGGUUGGACGGAUCACUGGUGUACCAGUUGUCUCGCCAGAGGCAUAGCUGGGUAGCUAUAUCCGGAAUGGAUAAGCGCUGAAAGCAUCUAAGUGCGAAACCAGCUUCAAGAUGAGAUUUCCCACAGAGUUAAUCUGGUAAGACCCCUGAAAGAUGAUCAGGUUGAUAGACCGGGAGUGGAAGCAUGGUGACAUGUGGAGCGGACCGGUACUAAUAGGUCGAGGUCUUGACCUU
RNAcentral lists this ribosomal RNA (3401 nucleotides) under Dehalobacter restrictus DSM 9455. Its description in RNAcentral is "bacterial LSU rRNA". It matches the Rfam family "Bacterial large subunit ribosomal RNA". Lineage: Bacteria; Bacillati; Bacillota; Clostridia; Eubacteriales; Desulfitobacteriaceae. The record is from RNAcentral.